This 436-nucleotide ribosomal RNA is filed under the name Appasus japonicus. RNAcentral's name for it is "partial 16S rRNA". It matches the Rfam family "Bacterial large subunit ribosomal RNA", at positions 1819 to 2523 of the family's 2925-position model. The record is from RNAcentral. Lineage: Eukaryota; Metazoa; Arthropoda; Insecta; Hemiptera; Belostomatidae.
GUCCUUUUGAUUUUUAUAUAAGGUCUGACCUGCCCUAUGAAUAUUUAAAUGGCCGCGGUAUACUAACCGUGCAAAGGUAGCAUAGUCAUUUGUCUCUUAAUUGGAGGCUUGAAUGAAGGGUUGGACGAGAUAUAAGCUUUCUUUGUUAUAUUUUAUUGAAUUUGACUUUUGAGUUAAAAGGCUUAAAUUUUUUUAUAGGACGAGAAGACCCUAUAGAAUUUUAUAUAUUUGUAUAAUUGAUUUAUUUAUUUAUUAUUUAAUUUCUUGUUUAAAUAUAUUUUGUUGGGGCGAUGGGAAGAUUUUAAUAACUCUUUUUUGUUUUGAUCAUUGAUUUAUGUUUUAUUCUGGUCCUUUUUUAGAGAUUAUAAGAUUAAAUUACCUUAGGGAUAACAGCGUAAUUCUUUUGGAGAGUUCUUAUCGAUAAAAGAGUUUGCGA